Patella vulgata (common limpet) is the source of this 577-nucleotide long non-coding RNA. RefSeq lists it as uncharacterized. Lineage: Eukaryota; Metazoa; Mollusca; Gastropoda; Patellidae. The record is from RefSeq and is a predicted model, not a curated record. The transcript is spliced from 3 exons.
UGUCUAGAAAAAGCUAUGUAGAGGCAGUAAGAGUGGGAAAAUCUAUCGAUAUUUUAUGCUUAGUAGCUGACACAUCCAGUGAUCCACGCACCACUAUUCCUACACCACUAUCAAGUUCUGAUAUUAAAAGUUUGCCGGAUUUGCCAACACCAGAAAAGGCUACGACUGACCCAUCUUACAGAUCCUUCCUCUCCAUCAAAGCGUAGGAAAACUGUGCACAGACGUGUUGUCUCAAGGCAUCCAAGAGAUGUCACAGAGACCACAGAAAAAAGGGUGGCAAGGUUGAGAUCACAGAGAAUUGAUGGAUUGAAGAUGUUAAUAUCACAGCUGGAUGAUAAAAAAAAGAAUAGAUUUGCUGGUUGUCAUAAUAGAAAGACAACCAGGCUUAAAAUUUGUGACAGUUUGACUAUUGCAGCUAGAGACACACCAGUCCCGUCUCCACCACCACAGACAAAAAAUUAUGCUAUAGCUAUAAACUUUUGCCUGAAAAUUGCUUAUCUCUCAGACCGGAAAUAGAUCAGUAUUGAGGGGGUUUAGAUCGCAUUACAAACAAGAGAUGACAUUUUGUUAGGGUGCC